This 403-nucleotide ribosomal RNA is filed under the name uncultured bacterium. RNAcentral's name for it is "partial 16S ribosomal RNA". It matches the Rfam family "Bacterial small subunit ribosomal RNA", at positions 30 to 526 of the family's 1533-position model. The record is from RNAcentral.
AUUGAACGCUGGCGGCAGGCCUAACACAUGCAAGUCGAGCGAGCGGCGGACGGGUGAGUAAUGUAUGGGGACUGCCCGAUAGAGGGGGAUAACUACUGGAAACGGUAGCUAAUACCGCAUACUAUCGGAUAACCCAUAUGGGAUUAGCUAGUAGGUGAGGUAAUGGCUCACCUAGGCGACGAUCCAUAGCUGGUCUGAGAGGAUGAUCAGCAACACGGGGACUGAGAACAGGCCCAGACUCCGACGGAGGCAGCAGGGGGGAAUAGUGCACAACUGGCGCAAGCCUGAUGCAGCCAUGCCGCGUGUAUGAAGAAGGCCCUAGGGUUGUAAAGUACGUUCAGUCGGGAGGCGUUACCGACAGAAGAAGCACCGGUUAACUCCGUGCCAGCCGCAGCGGUAAUUC